This 1403-nucleotide ribosomal RNA is filed under the name uncultured bacterium. RNAcentral describes it as "bacterial SSU rRNA". It matches the Rfam family "Bacterial small subunit ribosomal RNA". The record is from RNAcentral.
AGAGUUUGAUCCUGGCUCAGGAUGAACGCUGGCGGCAUGCCUAAUACAUGCAAGUCGAACGAGAGGAAGGAAAGCUUGCUUUUCUGAAUCUAGUGGCGAACGGGUGAGUAACACGUAGGUAACCUGCCCAUGUGCCCGGGAUAACUUCUGGAAACGGAUGCUAAAACCGGAUAGGUAGCAGACAAGCAUUUGACUGCUAUUAAAGUGGCUAAGGCCACGAACAUGGAUGGACCUGCGGUGCAUUAGCUAGUUGGUGAGGUAACGGCCCACCAAGGCGACGAUGCAUAGCCGGCCUGAGAGGGCGGACGGCCACAUUGGGACUGAGACACGGCCCAAACUCCUACGGGAGGCAGCAGUAGGGAAUUUUCGUCAAUGGGGGGAACCCUGAACAAGCAAUGCCGCGUGAGUGAGGAAGGUCUUCGGAUCGUAAAGCUCUGUUGUAAGAGAAAAACGACAUUCAUAGGGAAUGAUGAGUGAGUGAUGGUAUCUUACCAGAAAGUCACGGCUAACUACGUGCCAGCAGCCGCGGUAAUACGUAGGUGGCGAGCGUUAUCCGGAAUGAUUGGGCGUAAAGGGUGCGUAGGUGGCAGAACAAGUCUGGAGUAAAAGGUAUGGGCUCAACCCGUACUGGCUCUGGAAACUGUUCAGCUAGAGAACAGAAGAGGACGGCGGAACUCCAUGUGUAGCGGUAAAAUGCGUAGAUAUAUGGAAGAACACCGGUGGCGAAGGCGGCCGUCUGGUCUGUUGCUGACACUGAAGCACGAAAGCGUGGGGAGCAAAUAGGAUUAGAUACCCUAGUAGUCCACGCCGUAAACGAUGAGAACUAGGUGUUGGGGGAAUAACUCAGUGCCGCAGUUAACGCAAUAAGUUCUCCGCCUGGGGAGUAUGCACGCAAGUGUGAAACUCAAAGGAAUUGACGGGGGCCCGCACAAGCGGUGGAGUAUGUGGUUUAAUUCGAAGCAACGCGAAGAACCUUACCUGCUCUUGACAUCCCGGUGACCGGCGUGUAAUGACGCCUUUUCUUCGGAACACCGGUGACAGGUGGUGCAUGGUUGUCGUCAGCUCGUGUCGUGAGAUGUUGGGUUAAGUCCCGCAACGAGCGCAACCCUUAUCUUUAGUAGCCAGCGGUUUGGAUGGGCACUCUGGAGAGACUGCCAGGGAUAACCUGGAGGAAGGUGGGGAUGACGUCAAAUCAUCAUGCCCCUUAUGAGCAGGGCUACACACGUGCUACAAUGGCGUAAACAAAGGGAAGCAAACCUGCGAGGGUAAGCAAAUCUCAAAAAUAACGUCUCAGUUCGGAUUGUAGUCUGCAACUCGACUACAUGAAGCUGGAAUCGCUAGUAAUCGCGAAUCAGCAUGUCGCGGUGAAUACGUUCCCGGGUCUUGCACUCACCGCCCGUCAA